This 416-nucleotide ribosomal RNA is filed under the name uncultured bacterium. RNAcentral describes it as "bacterial SSU rRNA". It matches the Rfam family "Bacterial small subunit ribosomal RNA", at positions 89 to 518 of the family's 1533-position model. The record is from RNAcentral.
GACUUAGUGGCGGACGGGUGAGUAAUGCGUGAGCAACCUGCCCUUGAUGGGGGACAACAGGUUGGAAACGACUGCUAAUACCGCAUAACGUAUCCGGGAGGCAUCUUCUGGAUACCAAAGAUUUAUUGCUCAAGGAUGGGCUCACGUCUGAUUAGCUGGUUGGCGGGGUAACGGCCCACCAAGGCGACGAUCAGUAGCCGGACUGAGAGGUUGAACGGCCACAUUGGGACUGAGAUACGGCCCAGACUCCUACGGGAGGCAGUAGUGGGGAAUAUUGGGCAAUGGGCGAAAGCCUGAACCCCAGCAACGCCGCGUGAAGGAAGAAGGCCUUCGGGUUGUAAACUUCUUUUAUGAGGGACGAAGGACGUGACGGUACCUCAUGAAUAAGCCACGGCUAACUACGUGCCAGCAGCUGC